Molecule: long non-coding RNA, 2030 nt
Organism: Chelonia mydas (Green sea turtle)
Lineage: Eukaryota; Metazoa; Chordata; Testudines; Cheloniidae
Exons: 4
Source: RefSeq, a predicted model, not a curated record
UAAAAUGUAGAGAUGUUUGUGGGAAAAGCAGAAAAAUGGGCAUUCAAGGCUAGUCCAUUAGCUUGAAUGAAGGUUAACAUGAAAAAUAUACCUGGUUAUGACAGCAGUAACUCUGCCAGUUCACAGGACAAUACAAGGGAGAUUUACUCUGAGUGAUAUUCAUAUUGUGUCCUAUCCCUCUCAGGUUAUUUAACUGCCUCCGGGGAGAUUCACAAUGGGGACUGCAGGGUUCAGCUGUUGCAACAAUUCUGGGUGCAGAAAGAACAGGUGAGCAGCAGUUCUUGCAUGACCGGUGGCUAUCAUACAUACAUCUGCUACCACACAGAUUAAAAGCAUGAAGAAACAUAAGAAGGCUCAUCUCUGAAGUCAGGCAAACAUGAGGGCAUGAAGACAUAUAACUGUCCCAGACUUGAGAUACUCAGAUAAUACUUUCUACAAUCCUGCCUGACAAAGUUACUUAGUAGUAAAGAAAAAAAAAUACAGCAACAUAGAAGAUCUGGAUCCCAUAUAUUUUUUCAUCAAGAAACUUUGAAAGUCAAGCAAGUAUUUUUUAUCUUGACCUUUUUGCAACACUGCCCCAUAUUCACAAGUUGUCAGCACAUGUUUGUCUGGAGUCAUCCGUCACUGCCAUCCGUCACUCCUCUGCCAUUCCCAUCAGUCCCAUUAUCUGGGAUCAAGAGAGAGCUGAGGAUAUAGCCUGAAGGAUCAUUAAACCUCAGCUUCCAAGUAUGGCACGUAGUCCAGGUGGCCUGUUGUUAUUUAUAAUAAAGAAAUAACACAGCAGAACCGCCUGAUAGUGGCCCAUGAGGCCUCCUGAAAGGACAGGCUGAGGGAUGUCAUCACUGAAGGACAGCUAAAAGUGGACUUCCUUCCCCCCACACAGUAAACAGAGAGAAUUUAUUGAACAUCUGUUCAGUACAUGGCUGGGAAGAUUGAUUAAUUUAAUUGCUCACACUUUGCUUAAGUAACAUUUGAAUACUUAAUGUCAGGUUUGAAGGAUAUUACAAUGUUUCCUCAUACACCUUCUUUUUAAAGAGACAGAGUUUCUUAGGGCUUUUGGUGUCUCUCAGGGAAGUUGAAAUGCAUCCUAAAAUUUACUUUUUAUGGGAGUCUGUAAAAGGAAGCAAGUGGGAAAAGCUUCCUUUUUUCAUAAAAGCAACUAGUUAUUUUUCACAUUUUGCCCAUCAUGAUAUAUCAUUAAUGUAAUGAGGUUGGAUCUUCUUCACUGAGUGGUGGUAAUUUUCCCUCUGGUAUCAACUGUAGAGACAGUUCAGCAUAUUAUAUAUUUCUGUACCCUUUAACAUAAUACCAUGAUCGUAUUGAAGUAGAUGAUGAGUUAAAGCUGCAAUAAUUUAUUGCAAGUUCUACUCAGGCAGUGUGUUUGGGAGGAAAUUUGUGAAAUCCUCACAGGAAAAAAAUACAUUAAUGGAGUAACAUUAAACAAUGGAAUGUCUGAUAUCAUUCCAUCAUCUAUGCUUUAAUUAGAUGAUGAUUUCUCAGUUGUGUGUCAUCCAAAGGGAUAUUACCCUUAUGACCAAUAUAUAAUAAAACCUAAAUGAAAAUACUAAAGGACACUUAGGGGUUCAGUGGUCACCAUGAAAAAGGAAAACUUUACCAACAUAGUUAACACAGCUAUUUCCUAUUCUAAGAAUAGGGUUCAUUUCAGCAUUUCACAGUUCCAGUGUCUGUUGACUGCUGAUAAAUGCAGACAAUAUAAUGGUGAUCAUUGUAUGGUGGAAAAUAAAUGUGAAGUUGCAUGUUCUGCUACACAAUAAAACUGUGCUGCCAUCUCCACCAAUGGAGGUUAACCUAAUAAAAAUAGACUGACAGAUUUGUGGUUCUUGUAGAAAGGCAUUUAUUUUUGACUCCUAAAAGCUCAAACCUCAGUUCUCUAGUAAAGAUGUUCUUUGAUCUUGCUGUGCCACUGGUAAUUUUAAGUCUGAUAUACAGAUAUGGCAUCUUUAAAUAUUUGUCUUACUUUUUGUGUAAUUUGCUUUGGAACUGUUAGUGCAGUAAAUAGGAAAUGAUAC